RNAcentral lists this ribosomal RNA (429 nucleotides) under Gemmatimonadota bacterium. RNAcentral's name for it is "Gemmatimonadetes bacterium partial 16S ribosomal RNA". It matches the Rfam family "Bacterial small subunit ribosomal RNA", at positions 355 to 776 of the family's 1533-position model. Lineage: Bacteria; Pseudomonadati; Gemmatimonadota. The record is from RNAcentral.
UAGGGAAUCUUCGGCAAUGGACGAAAGUCUGACCGAGCAACGCCGCGUGAGUGAAGAAGGUUUUCGGAUCGUAAAACUCUGUUGUUAGAGAAGAACAAGGACGGUAGUAACUGAACGUCCCCUGACGGUAUCUAACCAGAAAGCCACGGCUAACUACGUGCCAGCAGCCGCGGUAAUACGUAGGUGGCAAGCGUUGUCCGGAUUGAUUGGGCGUAAAGCGAGCGCAGGCGGUUUCUUAAGUCUGAUGUGAAAGCCCCCGGCUCAACCGGGGAGGGUCAUUGGAAACUGGGAGACUUGAGUGCAGAAGAGGAGAGUGGAAUUCCAUGUGUAGCGGUGAAAUGCGUAGAUAUAUGGAGGAACACCAGUGGCGAAGGCGGCUCUCUGGUCUGUAACUGACGCUGAGGCUCGAAAGCGUGGGGAGCAAACAGG